RNAcentral lists this long non-coding RNA (370 nucleotides) under Nicotiana benthamiana. RNAcentral describes it as "long non-coding RNA (NBEN_LNC002046)". The record is from RNAcentral. Lineage: Eukaryota; Viridiplantae; Streptophyta; Magnoliopsida; Solanales; Solanaceae.
UUCAAGUCAAUUCGUCGACCAUUUUUGUUCUGUUGUUUUGAUGAUGACUGCUUCUGUGCAGAAGAUUUUCUAGUUGUUACCAGGUUCCAAUUCCCUCCCUUUUGUUUUGAUCCCGUCCUUUAUCAACAGACUUAGGCUUAGGUUCUCUAGCUUCUCCAGUUCGAUCAACAUUCUCCUUUAAGUUCGCUGCAGAUGCGUCAAAUGCAUUAUUAGGAGACUGCUUUUUUUUUUUCUCCAGGUAAAUCAACCUCAAAUUCAUUCCCAGCAUGUGCACUAGAAUUGUUUCUAAUUGCAGCAGUUUGCAAUACUCCAGCAGUAGCCAAAUACAUUCUUGCAAAAAUGGUAGAGGCAGGUACAUCUCUAGAAGGCU